RNA transcript from Lonchura striata (white-rumped munia), 3957 nucleotides. It is a transcript of the gene named protein phosphatase 1 regulatory inhibitor subunit 2, with no coding region annotated. The record is from RefSeq and is a predicted model, not a curated record. Lineage: Eukaryota; Metazoa; Chordata; Aves; Passeriformes; Estrildidae.
GGGCCCGGCCGGGGCGGCGGCGGCGGCGGAACCGGGAGGGCGGCGCGGCCAUGGAGGAGCCGUCGGUACCGGACGCCUCGGCGGCGGGGCGGGGGCCCAUCAAGGGCAUCCUGAAGAAGAGCGGCAGCAAGGCUUCGUCGGGAGCGGCCGUGGGAGCGCGACAGCCCAGCCAAGCCUGUGACGAGGACGAUCACGGUAAAAAAUCACAGAAGUGGGAUGAAAUGAACAUCAUAGCUACAUACCACCCUCCAGGCAAAGAUUAUGGCUUGAUGAAAAUUGAUGAGCCAAGUACUCCUUACCACAGCAUGGUAGGAGAAGAUGAUGAGGAUGCAGUGAGUGAUUCAGAAUAUGAGCCCUUAAAAGCAGAUGUAUUGAGUAAAAAACUGGCAGCUGCAGCUGAAGGUAGAGGACCCAAGGUUAUAGCAAGGCAAGAAGAAAGCAGUGAGGAGGAGGACGAGGAUGAAGAAUUAACACCUGAAGAACGGGAGAAAAAGAAACAGUUUGAAAUGAAGAGAAAAAUGCACUAUAAUGAAGGAAGAAACAUCAAACUGGCAAGGCAGCUCAUUGCAAAAGAACUACAUGGUGAAGAAGAGGAAGAUGAUGAGGAUGAAGAGAUGCGUGAUGCUGCAGAUGUAGAAACAAUGAGUACAGAACCUACCGAACAUGGUGAGCUACUGAUGAAUUAAAAAGCACCUACUGAGAUUUCUUGCUGAUAAAAUGAAGAUGGCCAGUCCAGUCAGUGAUGCACAUGUUACUCGUGACCAGCUGGAAAGUGGAGCACACAGCAUAGAAGAAAUCUGUCCAGAACUGUAACUGCUUGUCAAAGACACAAAUAUAAACAUCGCUUCAUGAUUUUUGCAAUUAAGGCUCUUAAAUGUUAAGAAGCAUAUCCGUUACAAUGUUGUAUUGCCAAGAAUGUUAAUUUUAGAUUUGUCCAUUAGGCAGAAAACACUGUCUAAUCGAUUUAUUCUUGUGCCUAGUAUUUCAUGGAGAAUACUGCUUCAUAAUUUGUUCAACCAGAAUGGCAUUCCCUGUAUGUAUAGCACUGAUUAUCUUGCGUGAUGUACUGUUACUCUUGCUUUGAAACACUCACUAUCUUUCGGUUUUACACUAUUUAUUUGAGAGUGUUCUAGAUGUAGUGUCUCAUAUGGAAAGUUUUGGGAUUCAAGAGCCAAACGGUACAGCGAAUAUCAGAUUGACAUGUAAGCUAUUUAUCAGAUGUGUUAAGCAGUUUAAAAAGGGAUUAUUCAAGUCCUACAACUUUUUUUUUUUUUUGUAAAGUAUUGACCUGUUAAUCUAGAUUUCAGUAUGUUUUUGCCUGCACCUUCCCAGUGUUUAGAACAAGAGCUGUGCUAUUUCUUAAGAGUGGUGUUUGGAAUUGGUUGUUAGUUUCUGACUAAAGCAGUACUAGCAUCUGGUUGAGGGAGUGUUUUUACACUGGAAGCAGCUAACUUGAACUUUGCAUUUAACUGUCAUAACCUCUUCCAUCAGGACUGGUUGUUUUGUGGAGCUCUCUCUGGCUUAUUGUGAGGCCGUGCAAGUUCCUUACAGCUUUUCUCUUAAAUCACAACCACUGUUACUCUUCUGGCUCUUGUUUCAAAUGUUUGGUUCUUUCCAGUUGCAUGAACAGUGUUUGUGCUGUUAGCACCUGAGGAAAAACACCCAGCCAUGAGUGUAUAAAUCAGGACUGAAGAUGUGCUGAGCCUAGGCUCUGGCUGUUCUUUAUUAAAGAUAACUGCUGUUGAUCUACUCUUUUGGGGUUGGCAACGUCCACACUGAAAACCAUUGGUCUAAAUCUUCCUGUGUCAUUGCAACUUACAGCAACUGCUUUUGUAAAAUGAAGGCUUUUUUGAAGCGAGAAGGGAAACUGCCUAAUUCAAAUACUUGUUUACAGUGUGGUUGUAUAGCUGUAAAGAGGGAUUCUGCACCUCCAAAUUGCUGUAAAAACUUCCCACUGGGUGGAAUUUGACUGGUGAAUGUUCCAGUAUUCAGAGUAGUUCCUGGGUUUUAUUAUACAAACGAAGUACACACUUAAGCUUCAGCUUGAUUAUGAAAUACAGUGUAUAUCUUAAUUUUGAUCUGAAUUUGAUAUGUUGCAAAAAUCCAUAUAAUUAUAUGGAUCAAUUUUAAAAUGUCUUUUUCUCCACUGUAUAUGUGAAGUUUGAAUAAAGGAAUGAAAGUUAUUUUACAGUUACAUACAUUCUCAAGUGUGAGCUUUCCUGGAGUCCCAGAGAAAUUGAGAGUGAAUAAGGCAAUAGGAUGCUGUCAUUUGAAAGAUUUUUACAGGAAUGAUUAAUUAGACUGGACGCAUUGCCAAAGAUACCUGUGAAUUAUGCUGUGUUUUGUAGGGUGCCUUUCCCAGCUAUCUCCUCUCCUUAGUAGGGUGGUCAGUUUUGGGUUAGUUAAUCUUCUAAGGUCCUGAAUUGAGAUUGAUAGGGUCUUUUCACAAAAAAGAGCUGAACUCUUGAUUCUGGCCAGUGUGGUGAUGCUACUUUUUCAACAUGCUGAGUGCUAUUACUUCUUGUAUCAAAUGUGGUCACUUCCAUGGAGUAAACAGUGGUAAAGGGUAAGCAUUUAGAUACUUUGACUCAUCAAGUCACGUACUGCAGCUUUCAAUUUGGCUCCUAAGAAUAGGAUUUCAAAACUUUGUUUGUACCUUUUAUAAACCAGCUUGCAGUGUUCAGAGUGUUGGCCUGUGUGCACUGAGCUGUAUUUCAGACUGAGCAGCUGCUGGCCUGGCCUGCCCCAGCUGGGCACUGAAAUUCUGAAAUUAAGGUAGAAUCCAGCAGCAGCAGCUCUUACCCGAGCUAAUGUCCUGCCCUCCUUAACCCCCCCACUUUCUUGUGUCCAAGGCCAUUUGGUGCUCAGCAGGGCUCCUUUGUAUCUUACAAGGUCUAGAAAGUAUUUUCUUUAACAAACAAACUUCUCUAACUUCCAAUAAAGACCUUUCCUGUAAUGGCUUCCACAAAUCUAGAUGAAAUGAGUAUGCAGCUUUGAGGGAGGUACACAAAUGCAUGAAGACGGUUUUAAAUUAACCACAUAAUGUAUACUAGGUUCCUUCAUCACUCAGGUGAUUUUGAGCUGCUUGGGUGAUCUCCUUUUUCUGUGCCUCCAAGCACCUAAAUUCUGAGUUUGAUGCUAUUUUGAAACUUGAUUUAGUUUGGGGUUUUUUUAAAGGCUUUGUUCUCUUCAUUUUCCUCAGUGCUCGCAGAAAUUCUGUUCACAGUGCUUCUUUGUCUUCCUCAGCAGAAGUGCAAGCCAAUGUCCCUACCACUGCUUCUAAGUGAAAGGCUGGUUUACUUUGCUUACACCUUGAUGCAUUUUAAAAACUAAAUCAUGCAAGUUUUACUUUGCGGUAGCUCCAGAAGUUCCAUACAGCUUUUUUUACAAAGGGAUAUCUGAUUUCCCUCUGCUUGAGAAAUAUCAGGAGUUCCCUGUUGAAUGGGGACAAGAGAAGAAAUGUGCUUUCUCUUUUUACAUUUGAUGAGGACUUAGCUAGCUUGCAUAUGGUAAAUACUCGUGUACAAUACAGAGUGGUGUAAAGAGGAAACAAACACAGUACUUACUUAUGUGGACAGUGAGCUCCACAGUACCAUAAUUGUGAAUUUUCUUGCAAAGGUUUAAGUCCUCAAGCUGCAUCCUGUUUAGAGAAGGCAUUUUCAAUAUGCUUCCAGUAGGAAGAUCACUUACAAAUAAGAGCCUUAACUCAUGUGUAUAGAUUUUUUUUUUUCUGUCUAUAGCUUCUUUCCCACCAACUUGUAUAAUUCAUGGAAACUGCAGAUACUUUUUCCACAGCUAACCUCUCUCAUGUGAAAUUUGUAUAUCUUACCAGAACUCUUUGUUUCUGUAACAUGCUUUUUUGUGGUAUUAUGAUGCCACCUCACAAAUGUAAUUAUUGUUUGAAACUGGUGUUAAGUGUCACAACAUAAAUAAAACAAUUGUUUUCAUUACUACCUU